UACGAAGGGGGCUAGCGUUGCUCGGAAUCACUGGGCGUAAAGGGUGCGUAGGCGGGUCUUUAAGUCAGGGGUGAAAUCCCGGAGCUCAACUCCAGAACUGCCUUUGAUACUGGCGGUCUCGAGUCCGGGAGAGGUGAGUGGAACUGCGAGUGUAGAGGUGAAAUUCGUAGAUAUUCGCAAGAACACCAGUGGCGAAGGCGGCUCACUGGCCCGGUACUGACGCUGAGGUGCGAAAGCGUGGGGAGCAAACAGG
RNAcentral lists this ribosomal RNA (253 nucleotides) under uncultured bacterium. Its description in RNAcentral is "partial 16S ribosomal RNA". It matches the Rfam family "Bacterial small subunit ribosomal RNA", at positions 524 to 776 of the family's 1533-position model. The record is from RNAcentral.